RNAcentral lists this ribosomal RNA (375 nucleotides) under uncultured bacterium. RNAcentral describes it as "bacterial SSU rRNA". It matches the Rfam family "Bacterial small subunit ribosomal RNA", at positions 29 to 431 of the family's 1533-position model. The record is from RNAcentral.
AACGAACGCUGGCGGCAUGCCUAACACAUGCAAGUCGAACGAGACCUUCGGGUCUAGUGGCGCACGGGUGCGUAACGCGUGGGAAUCUGCCCUUAGGUUCGGAAUAACUUCGGGAAACUGAAGCUAAUACCGGAUGAUGACGUAAGUCCAAAGAUUUAUCGCCUAAGGACGAGCCCGCGUAGGAUUAGCUAGUUGGUGAGGUAAAAGCUCACCAAGGCGACGAUCCUUAGCUGGUCUGAGAGGAUGAUCAGCCACACUGGGACUGAGACACGGCCCAGACUCCUACGGGAGGCAGCAGUGGGGAAUAUUGGACAAUGGGCGAAAGCCUGAUCCAGCAAUGCCGCGUGAGUGAUGAAGGCCCUAGGGUUGUAAAGC